CGUAGGGUCCGAGCGUUGUCCGGAGUUACUGGGCGUAAAGCGCGCGCAGGUGGUUCCCUAAGCCCGGCGUGAAAGCCCCCGGCUCAACCGGGGAGGGUCGUCGGGGACUGGAGAACUUGAGGGCGGCAGGGGCUGGUGGAAUCCCCGGUGUAGUGGUGAAAUGCGUAGAGAUCGGGGGGAACACCCGUGGCGAAGGCGGCCAGCUGGGCCGACCCUGACACUGAGGCGCGAAGGCGUGGGGAGCGAACGGGAUUAGAUACCCCGGUAGUCCACGCAGUAAACGAUGCCGACUGGGCGUGGGGGGACUUGACCCCCUCCGUGCCGGAGCCAACGCGGGAAGUCGGCCGCCUGGGGAGUACGGCCGCAAGGCUA
Molecule: ribosomal RNA, 372 nt
Filed under: uncultured organism
Description: bacterial SSU rRNA
Rfam family: Bacterial small subunit ribosomal RNA
Source: RNAcentral